Molecule: ribosomal RNA, 450 nt
Filed under: uncultured bacterium
Lineage: Bacteria
Description: partial 16S ribosomal RNA
Rfam family: Bacterial small subunit ribosomal RNA
Source: RNAcentral
CCUACGGGGGGCUGCAGUGGGGAAUUUUGGACAAUGGGGGCAACCCUGAUCCAGCCAUGCCGCGUGCGGGAAGAAGGCCUUCGGGUUGUAAACCGCUUUUGUCGGGGAAGAAAUCCUCUGGGCUAAUACCUCGGGGGCAUGACGGUACCCGGAGAAUAAGCACCGGCUAACUACGUGCCAGCAGCCGCGGUAAUACGUAGGGUGCAAGCGUUGAUCGGAAUUACUGGGGGCGGUCUUUGCGGACAGAUGUGAAAGCCACGUGCUCAACCUGGGAACUGCAUUUGUGACUGCAAGGCUGGAGUGCGGCAGAGGGGGAUGGAAUUCCGCGUGUAGCAGUGAAAUGCGUAGAUAUGCGGAGGAACACCGAUGGCGAAGGCAAUCCCCUGGGCCUGCACUGACGCUCAUGCACGAAAGCGUGGGGAGCAAACAGGAUUAGAUACCCCUGUAGUC